CCAGUACAGGAUGGACCCGCGUCUGAUUAGCUAGUUGGUAAGGUAACGGCUUACCAAGGCGACGAUCAGUAGCCGACCUGAGAGGGUGAUCGGCCACAUUGGAACUGAGACACGGUCCAAACUCCUACGGGAGGCAGCAGUGGGGAAUAUUGCACAAUGGGCGAAAGCCUGAUGCAGCAACGCCGCGUGAGUGAUGAAGGCCUUCGGGUCGUAAAACUCUGUCCUCAAGGAAGAUAAUGACGGUACUUGAGGAGGAAGCCCCGGCUAACUACGUGCCAGCAGCCGCGGUAAUACGUAGGGGGCUAGCGUUAUCCGGAUUUACUGGGCGUAAAGGGUGCGUAGGCGGUCUUUCAAGUCAGGAGUGAAAGGCUACGGCUCAACCGUAGUAAGCUCUUGAAACUGGGAGACUUGAGUGCAGGAGAGGAGAGUGGAAUUCCUAGUGUAGCGGUGAAAUGCGUAGAUAUUAGGAGGAACACCAGUUGCGAAGGCGGCUCUCUGGACUGUAACUGACGCUGAGGCACGAAAGCGUGGGGAGCAAACAGGAUUAGAUACCCUGGUAGUCCACGCUGUAAACGAUGAGUAC
RNAcentral lists this ribosomal RNA (583 nucleotides) under Clostridioides difficile. Its description in RNAcentral is "bacterial SSU rRNA". It matches the Rfam family "Bacterial small subunit ribosomal RNA", at positions 215 to 816 of the family's 1533-position model. Lineage: Bacteria; Bacillati; Bacillota; Clostridia; Peptostreptococcales; Peptostreptococcaceae. The record is from RNAcentral.